GGCUCAGAACGAACGCUGGCGGCGUGCUUAACACAUGCAAGUCGAACGAACCUUCGGGUUAGUGGCGGACGGGUGAGUAACGCGUGAGAAUCUGCCCUCAGGAGGGGGAUAACGGUUGGAAACGACCGCUAAUACCCCAUAUGCCGAGAGGUGAAAAGAAAUUCGCCUGAGGAUGAGCUCGCGUCUGAUUAGCUAGUUUGUGUUGUAAUGGCGCACGGAAAAAUUCGAUCAGUAGCUGGUCUGAGAGGAUGAUCAGCCACA
Molecule: ribosomal RNA, 261 nt
Filed under: uncultured bacterium
Lineage: Bacteria
Description: partial 16S ribosomal RNA
Rfam family: Bacterial small subunit ribosomal RNA
Source: RNAcentral